RNAcentral lists this ribosomal RNA (510 nucleotides) under uncultured bacterium. RNAcentral describes it as "partial 16S ribosomal RNA". It matches the Rfam family "Bacterial small subunit ribosomal RNA", at positions 28 to 507 of the family's 1533-position model. The record is from RNAcentral.
GACGAACGCUGGCGGCGUGCUUAACACAUGCAAGUCGAACGAAGAGCGAUGGACGCUUGCUUCUAUCAAUCUUAGUGGCGACCGGGUGAGUAACGCGUAAUCAACCUGCCCUUCAGAGGGGGACAACAGUUGGAAACGACUGCUAAUACCGCAUACGAUCCAAUCUCGGCAUCGGGACUGGAUGAAAGGUGGCCUCUAUUUAUAAGCUAUCACUGAAGGCGGGGAUUACGGCUGAUUAGCUAGUUGGAGGGGUAACGGCCCACCAAGGCGAUGAUCAGUAGCCGGUCUGAGAGGAUGAACGGCCAACUUGGGACUGAGACACGGCCCAGACUCCUACGGGAGGCAGCAGUGGGGAAUCUUCCGCCAUGGACGAAAGUCUGACGGAGCAACGCCGGGUGGGUGAUGACGGCCUUCGGGUUGUAAAGCUCUGUUAAUCGGGACGAAUGGUUCUUGUGCGAAUAGUGCGAGGAUUUGACGGUACCGGAAGAGAAAGCCACGGCUAACUACGUG